UACAGAGGGGGCCAGCGUUAUUCGGAAUUAUUGGGCGUAAAGGGCGCGUAGGCGGCUUUGCGUGUCUUUCGUGAAAUCCCUCGGCUCAACUGAGGACGUGCGGAAGAAACUGCAGGGCUGGAGUCCGGGAGAGGAGGGUGGAAUUCCCAGUGUAGCGGUGAAAUGCGCAGAUAUCGGGAAGAACACCCGUGGCGAAGGCGGUUCUCUGGGACGGUACUGACGCUGAGACGCGAAAGCGUGGGGAGCGAACAGG
Molecule: ribosomal RNA, 253 nt
Filed under: uncultured bacterium
Lineage: Bacteria
Description: partial 16S ribosomal RNA
Rfam family: Bacterial small subunit ribosomal RNA
Source: RNAcentral